CCGCGGUAAUACGAAAGGGGCUAGCGUUGUUCGGAUUUACUGGGCGUAAAGGGCACGCAGGCGGUCUUGCCAGUCAGGGGUGAAAGCCCGAGGCUCAACCUCGGAACUGCCUCUGAUACUGUAAGACUUGAGACUAGGAGAGGGUGGUGGAAUUCCCAGUGUAGAGGUGAAAUUCGUAGAUAUUGGGAGGAACACCAGAGGCGAAGGCGGCCACCUGGACUAGAUCUGACGCUCAGGUGCGAAAGCGUGGGGAGCAAACAGGAUUAGAUACCCUGGUAGUCCACGCCGU
Molecule: ribosomal RNA, 289 nt
Filed under: bacterium
Lineage: Bacteria
Description: partial 16S ribosomal RNA
Rfam family: Bacterial small subunit ribosomal RNA
Source: RNAcentral